This 506-nucleotide ribosomal RNA is filed under the name uncultured bacterium. Its description in RNAcentral is "partial 16S ribosomal RNA". It matches the Rfam family "Bacterial small subunit ribosomal RNA", at positions 29 to 523 of the family's 1533-position model. The record is from RNAcentral.
AGUGAACGCUGGCGGUAGGCCUAACACAUGCAAGUCGAACGGCAGCACAGGAGAGCUUGCUCUCUGGGUGGCGAGUGGCGGACGGGUGAGGAAUACAUCGGAAUCUACUUUUUCGUGGGGGAUAACGUAGGGAAACUUACGCUAAUACCGCAUACGACCUACGGGUGAAAGCAGGGGACCUUCGGGCCUUGCGCGAUUGAAUGAGCCGAUGUCGGAUUAGCUAGUUGGCGGGGUAAAGGCCCACCAAGGCGACGCUCCGUAGCUGGUCUGAGAGGAUGAUCAGCCAGACUUGAACUGAGACACGGUCCAGACUCCUACGGGAGGCAGCAGUGGGGAAUAUUGGACAAUGGGCGCAAGCCUGAUCCCGCCAUACCGCGUGGGUGAAGAAGGCCUUCGGGUUGUAAAGCCCUUUUGUUGGGAAAGAAAUCCAGCCGGCUAAUACCUGGUUGGGAUGACGGUACCAAAAGAAUAAGCACCGGCUAACUUCGUGCCAGCCGCCGCCGUAA